Molecule: ribosomal RNA, 438 nt
Filed under: uncultured bacterium
Lineage: Bacteria
Description: bacterial SSU rRNA
Rfam family: Bacterial small subunit ribosomal RNA
Source: RNAcentral
AACGCGAAGAACCUUACCUAGGCUUGACAUACCGUGAAAAGUGUAGAGAUGCAUAAUAGUCGCAAGACACACGGAUACAGGUGCUGCAUGGCUGUCGUCAGCUCGUGUCGUGAGAUGUUGGGUUAAGUCCCGCAACGAGCGCAACCCUUUCCCUUAUUUGCCAUCAUUAAGUUGGGAACUAUAGGGGUACUGCCGAUGAUAAAUCGGAGGAAGGUGGGGAUGACGUCAAGUCCUCAUGGCCCUUACGUCUAGGGCUACACACGUACUACAAUGGCCAAGACAAAGCGAAGCUAAACCGAGAGGUGGAGCCAAACGCAAAAACAUGGUCUCAGUUCGGAUUGUGGUCUGCAACUCGACCACAUGAAGUUGGAAUCUCUAGUAAUCGCAGAUCAGCAGGCUGCGGUGAAUACGUUCCCGGGCCUUGUACACACCGAUAGC